RNAcentral lists this long non-coding RNA (759 nucleotides) under Cricetulus griseus (Chinese hamster). Its description in RNAcentral is "lncRNA (ENSCGRG00015038632.1)". The record is from RNAcentral. Lineage: Eukaryota; Metazoa; Chordata; Mammalia; Rodentia; Cricetidae.
AGGAUUUCAGUUCUACUGUUAAAUCACUGAAAAGCAGGCAUUCUGAAGAAAGAGCAGGAGUCAGCACAUCUUAGCUGAGGCUUGGAACCCAGUCUUCGGAAUUAAAUGGCUAGCUUCUUAAAACCCUGCCACAAGCAACAGUGCCAGGUUUACAUAAACAUAUUGGUAUUUUUAUCUGGAUACAAGAUUUUUUACCCAAAGCAGUAAGGACCAUGACUGGCCUAAGGGUGAUGUCUUCAAGUGUAAAGAUGCCAUGAGAGUGUGAGAGCUGGAGGAUGGGAAAGAAUGCUGUGAAAUGCUCUCUUCUGAACAUGCUACACCUACCACACCCAUGAACUCACUCAUGAACUCAGCAGCCGGGAAGACCAGCACAAGACCUACACAUGAACAAGCCAGUCAAACUUCCAGCACAGGCAGGAUGGUGGACUGCCACACCCCACCCCUUACUGAGAAGGCAAUGGCAGCUCAUACUUGCUAGGGGUGGGGAUAAUCUUUUUCAUGUGGAUGUGGUCAUGGGUAGACUCUCCUUGUUCCCAGAGAAGAUUCCACACUCACGCCUAUAGAAACAGCAUUAACUGGACUUUGUGAGCUAUAAAAAAUUAAAAAGGAAUAACAAAAAAAAACAGAUAAAGUUGGGAUAGAAAUGUGUUGAAGAGGAUAUGGGCAGAGUUGGAGGAGGUAAUAGAGGGUAAAUAUGACAUAUUUCAUUGUAUGUUUAUAUAAAAUUCUCAACAACAAACAAUUUUUUUAAGACUUAAC